Molecule: non-coding RNA, 1864 nt
Organism: Paramisgurnus dabryanus
Lineage: Eukaryota; Metazoa; Chordata; Actinopteri; Cypriniformes; Cobitidae
Source: RefSeq, a predicted model, not a curated record
CGUGACAACGCGACAUUGACACAGCACUAUUGCCUCAUUUUAAUAGACUCAUUUUAAUGAGCUGGUUAAUGUUCAUUAAGUACACCACAGUUCUGUAAGUGGAGAAAUAAUUCAUAUUUGUGUGUUUUUCUCUCAGUAAGGACUAACAUUAACUGACUGUCUGUCCUCAACCAAAGUCAUUCAAGACCUGUAAAAGUUUAGCACAAACGUUUCCCGCGCAAGUUUGAAUCUCUCUCAGUCAGGGGAGAUUGACUGACUGACUGACUGUCUACACGCCACCAAACAGUCAGUUAUACAGAAACCUUUUAAAGUAAGGACUAACAUUAACUGACUGUCUGUCUGUCUGUCUGUCUGUCUGUUCUCAAGCAAAGUCAUUCAAGACCUGUUAAAGUUUAGCACAAACGUUUCCCGCGCAAGUUUGAAUCUCUCUCAGUCAGGGGAGAUUGACUGACUGACUGACUGUCUACACGCCACCAAACAGUAAUUUAUACAGAAACCUUUUAAAGUAAGGACUAACAUUAACUGACUGUCUGUCUGUCUGUCUGUCUGUCUGUUCUCAAGCAAAGUCAUUCAAGACCUGUUAAAGCACAAACGUUUCCCGCGCAAGUUUGAAUCUCUCUCAGUCAGGGGAGAUUGACUGACUGACUGUCUACACGCCACCAAACAGUAAUUUAUACAGAAACCUUUUAAAGUAAGGACUAAGGUUAACUGACUGUCUGUCUGUCUGUCUGUCUGUCGGUUCUCAACCAAAGUCAUUAAAGACCUGUUAAAGUAAGGACUAAGGUUAACUGACUGUCUGUCUGUCUGUCUGUCGGUUCUCAACCAAAGUCAUUAAAGACCUGUUAAAGUAAGGACUAACGUUAACUGACUGUCUGUCUGUCUGCUCUCAACCAAACAGUCAUUCAAGACCUUUCAAAGUUUAGCACAAAAGUUUCCAGCACAAGUUUGGAUCUUUACCAUUGAGGGUGGCUGACUGUUCUCGACCAACCAUCAUUCACACGCAAAAACUUUAAAGAUAAGUAUGAACGUGCCCAGAGCAGUUUUCGAUCUUUACCAUUAAGGAGGCUGACUGACUAUCCUCUACCACCCGUCAUUAACACAACAAAAACUAAAGAAAUGUUACUCCAUAUGGACCUAUUCAUUUACUCAUUAUGCUGUGAGUACACCACAGUUUUAUCAGUGAAAAAAUUUAUAUUUGUGUGUUUUCUCACUUCUUGGCAAGGACAGAUGUGGCCCUGUUAAAAAUGUUUAAAUGUUGUUUGGUUAAGGAACAGCACACUGAUUUUGUUUUAAAAUAUUCCUGUUUGGACAGUCUGUUAAAGUCAAAGGAAUACUUGAUAUAUUUCUAAGUAAAGUGUAAAUGAAAAAAUUAGUUUUUAAUGUUGUGACUGAACACAAUGUUGUGAAUGAUUUGGACUGAACAGCACACUUCUGUUUUAUAUCUGAACCUUUUGUAAAAUAAAUGAUUGUUCAUUAAACUCACUGUGUAUUUUAUCUUUUCUGUUAUCAUUUUUUUAUACUAAUGUUUAAAAUUUACCUUUACUCUAAACAAUUGGCUAAACCAACACAAAUACACUGAGUCAUAUGCACUUAUAAUUUAAAGUUUACAAUAUUUAGAUUGAGAUAUAUGUAUAAGUUUUAAAACCAUGAGUGUACCCUGUCAAAGCCAUUUUUGUACCCUUUUUGAAGGGUCCAUAUUUGUACUGUUAAAUAAAGGUACAAAAUUGUCACUAGAGGUACAAAACUGGUCCCUUAAGGUACAAAUCACAAGGGUACAAUUUUGUACCCUCUGCCAAGGGUACAAAAACUGUACCCUUGAGGGUACAGCCCCAGUGACAAGCCAUUGUACCCCUAAAGGUACAAU